RNAcentral lists this ribosomal RNA (792 nucleotides) under uncultured Methanosaeta sp. RNAcentral's name for it is "bacterial SSU rRNA". It matches the Rfam family "Archaeal small subunit ribosomal RNA", at positions 85 to 876 of the family's 1478-position model. Lineage: Archaea; Methanobacteriati; Methanobacteriota; Methanomicrobia; Methanotrichales; Methanotrichaceae. The record is from RNAcentral.
ACUGCUCAGUAACACGUGGACAACCUGCCCUGAGGACUGGAAUAAUCCCGGGAAACUGGGGGUAAUUCCAGAUAUGUCAGAACUCCUGGAAUGGGUUCUGGCAGAAAGGCUCCGGCGCCUCAGGAUGGGUCUGCGGCCUAUCAGGGUAGUAGUGGGUGUAACGUACCUACUAGCCUACGACGGGUACGGGUUGUGAGAGCAAGAGCCCGGAGAUGGAUUCUGAGACAUGAAUCCAGGCCCUACGGGGUGCAGCAGGCGCGAAAACUUUACAAUGCGGGCAACCGCGAUAAGGGGACCUCGAGUGCUGGGUUACAAACCUGGCUGUUGGGCUGCCUAAAAAGCAGUCUAUAGCAAGGGCCGGGCAAGACCGGUGCCAGCCGCCGCGGUAACACCGGCGGCUCGAGUGGUAACCGCUAUUAUUGGGUCUAAAGGGUCUGUAGCCUGCCGGCUAAGUCUCUUGGGAAAUCUGGCAUCUCAAGUGUCAGGCUGCCAGGGGAUACUGGUCGGCUUGGGACCGGGAGAGGUGAGAGGUACCUCGGGGGUAGGGGUGAAAUCUUGUAAUCCUCGAGGGACCACCAGUGGCGAAGGCGUCUCACCAGAACGGAUCCGACGGCAAGGGACGAAAGCUAGGGGCACGAACCGGAUUAGAUACCCGGGUAGUCCUAGCCGUAAACGAUACUCGCUAGGUGUCGGCCACGGUGCGACCGUGGUCGGUGCCGUAGGGAAGCCGUGAAGCGAGCCACCUGGGAAGUACGGCCGCAAGGCUGAAACUUAAAGGAAUUGGCGGGGGAG